RNAcentral lists this ribosomal RNA (500 nucleotides) under uncultured bacterium. RNAcentral's name for it is "partial 16S ribosomal RNA". It matches the Rfam family "Bacterial small subunit ribosomal RNA", at positions 28 to 507 of the family's 1533-position model. The record is from RNAcentral.
GACGAACGCUGGCGGCGUGCUUAACACAUGCAAGUCGAACGGGUCUGCCCUGUUUUUUGCGGGGUGGGUCAGUGGCGAACGGGUGAGUAACACGUGAGUAACCUGCCCCUCACUUCUGGAUAACCGCUUGAAAGGGUGGCUAAUACGGGGUGUUCUGGCUGUGCCGCAUGGUGUGGCUGGGAAAGAUUCACUUUUGUGGUGUUUUGGUGGGGGAUGGGCUCGCGGCCUAUCAGCUUGUUGGUGGGGUGAUGGCCUGCCAAGGCUUUGACGGGUAGCCGGCCUGAGAGGGUGGGCGGUCACACUGGGACUGAGAUACGGCCCAGACUCCUGCGGGAGGCAGCAGUGGGGGGUAGUGCACAAUGGGCGGAAGCCUGAUGCAGCGACGUCGCGUGAGGGAUGGAGGCCUUCGGGUUGUGAACCUCUUUCGCCGGUGAAGAAGGUCCUGCUCUUUGGGGUGGGGUUGACGGUAGCCGGGUUAUGAAGCGCCGGCUAACUACGUG